GGAGGCAGCAGUGGGGAAUAUUGCACAAUGGGCGCAAGCCUGAUGCAGCCAUGCCGCGUGUAUGAAGAAGGCCUUCGGGUUGUAAAGUACUUUCAGCGAGGAGGAAGGCGUUAAGGUUAAUAACCUUAGCGAUUGACGUUACUCGCAGAAGAAGCACCGGCUAACUCCGUGCCAGCAGCCGCGGUAAUACGGAGGGUGCAAGCGUUAAUCGGAAUUACUGGGCGUAAAGCGCACGCAGGCGGUCUGUUAAGUCAG
This 255-nucleotide ribosomal RNA is filed under the name Klebsiella sp. RLT01. Its description in RNAcentral is "Raoultella sp. RLT01 partial 16S ribosomal RNA". It matches the Rfam family "Bacterial small subunit ribosomal RNA", at positions 344 to 591 of the family's 1533-position model. Lineage: Bacteria; Pseudomonadati; Pseudomonadota; Gammaproteobacteria; Enterobacterales; Enterobacteriaceae. The record is from RNAcentral.